AUUAGACUUGUGGCAAACACACACUCCAGGACUGAGUGGAGGAAAAUUAAAUCUACACUCGUAGUGCCAAUUAAUUUUCACAUUUUGACUUGGCCUGAUUUUACUAUAUUACUGACAAAUUAUAUUUUUCUUGUCAGUUAUUCAAUCCUCUAGGAUUAAAAUCAGUCUAGGUAGAGGAGGUGUACGUGUGGUGCGAACACCAUUUCUGCCUCUGGCUGGGGCUGAAACAGGGCACCUGCACCCAACCCGAGCAGGCCGUGAUGUGCCUCAGUCAGUCUUGAUGACAGAACAGUGAGCAGAAUGUGAGCGCUGGCUCUCCUUAGAGCAAGGCCUUAGGAGCUCCUCCCUGAAUGUUUCUAACUUCAAGUCAGAACUCCUUCACGCCGACGAGCUAUUCAGCUGCAACCGAGGCAGCCUGGGGUAGCACUGCCAGCGACAGCCUCUCCGCUUCUUGCUCUAUGCCAAGAAAGUCUUUCUAAGAGGCGAACCUCUCUAAAAUUGGAAAGGGGACCAACGUGAGACCAUUUCAUUACAAUCUCCACCUGCAGUAGCCUCUCGGGAAGAACAGACACCUCUGAAAGAAUCACUUGAAGUGGAUUUCUUGGGAAAAUCUGAUCUGUGAACCUUGCUCUCUAAUUACCGCUGGGAGAACAUGAGGUUUGUUUGGAAUCAAAUGCAGCUUUCCACUGCCAUAAUUACACAUUUUAUUUCAAACACCUAACUACACUGUUUGAAGAUGUUAGCACAAUUGUACUAAAUAUUAUCCUGGAGUUCUGCUAAGGAGGGCUGGCAGAGAGUGAAGGAACAGGACAGCAACCGAAACGAUGGGUUUAUGGGGGUUUAGGCAACUCAUGGCCAGAGGUAUUGUGUAAAGAAAUGAGCUCUGGCCUUUCAUUCAGAGCGUGGAGUUCCUGUCUCAAUGCGAUGCUCUGAGGCCUUUCACUGGGCAGGUAAAGCUAUGGGCAGCCGGAAGCACGCUGAGGGCUGGGCGCUGAAUAACAUUCAUUAGGCCCCAAAGGACUUGAAGCAAAUAUAUACAUCUAGAGAAUAAUUGUUAUAAUAUGGUUAAGAUAAGUGCUUAUUAUGACACAAAGAAUCAGUGUCUUAAAUCCAGUGUUGGCUAGCAUGUUAAAUUACGGGCAAGUCAUUCAGUAAGCUCAGAAUGAGGGGGUGGGAAGGAGGGAGAUUGGGGCCAGGAGAGCAAGGAAUGGCAGAAAUUAAUCAGAUACAGUCCAUAGAUUUAGGGCCCUGAAUCACUAUAUCAUUCCCAAGAUAUUUGUGUAACGUGGCUGUGUUUAAGAUCUUCAGUGACUCUGAGGGCUGGGAAUAUAGCUUAGUGGUAGAGUUCUUGCAGCAUUUGCAAGUACUGGGUUUGACCCACCCCCCACACACACAC
This 1396-nucleotide long non-coding RNA is filed under the name Chinchilla lanigera (long-tailed chinchilla). RNAcentral's name for it is "lncRNA (ENSCLAG00000027424.1)". The record is from RNAcentral. Lineage: Eukaryota; Metazoa; Chordata; Mammalia; Rodentia; Chinchillidae.